UCGAGAAUCAUUCGCAAUGGGCGAAAGCCUGACGAUGCGACGCCGUGUGAGCGAAGAAGGCCUUCGGGUUGUAAAGCUCUUUAGCUGGGGAACAAGAAAGGUCCAUGAACAAUGGGCUGAUUUGAGAGUACCCGGUAAAUAAGCACCGGCUAACUCCGUGCCAGCAGCUGCGGCAAUACGGAGGGUGCAAGCAUUAAUCGGAUUUAUUGGGCGUAAAGGGCGCGUAGGCGUCUCGAUAAGUCAUCUGUGAAAAUCCUGGGCUUAACCUAGGAAGUGCAGGUGAAACUAUCGAGAUGGAGGGUAGGCGAGGAAAAUGGAAUUUCACGUGUAGCGGUGAAAUGCGUAGAUAUGUGGAAGAACACCGGUGGCGAAGGCGGUUUUCCAGCCUAUACCUGACGCUGAGGCGCGAAAGCAAGGGGAGCAAACAGG
Molecule: ribosomal RNA, 429 nt
Filed under: uncultured bacterium
Lineage: Bacteria
Description: bacterial SSU rRNA
Rfam family: Bacterial small subunit ribosomal RNA
Source: RNAcentral